Molecule: ribosomal RNA, 694 nt
Filed under: uncultured bacterium
Lineage: Bacteria
Description: bacterial SSU rRNA
Rfam family: Bacterial small subunit ribosomal RNA
Source: RNAcentral
AACGCUAGCUACAGGCUUAACACAUGCAAGUCGAGGGGCAGCAUGGUCUUAGCUUGCUAAGGCCGAUGGCGACCGGCGCACGGGUGAGUAACACGUAUCCAACCUGCCGUCUACUCUUGGACAGCCUUCUGAAAGGAAGAUUAAUACAAGAUGGCAUCAUGAGUCCGCAUGUUCACAUGAUUAAAGGUAUUCCGGUAGACGAUGGGGAUGCGUUCCAUUAGGUAGUAGGCGGGGUAACGGCCCACCUAGCCUGCGAUGGAUAGGGGUUCUGAGAGGAAGGUCCCCCGCAUUGGAACUGAGACACGGUCCAAACUCCUACGGGAGGCAGCAGUGAGGAAUAUUGGUCAAUGGGCGAGAGCCUGAACCAGCCAAGUAGCGUGAAGGAUGAAGGUCCUACGGAUUGUGAACUUCUUUUAUACGGGAAUAAAGUUUCCUACGUGUAGGAUUUUGUAUGUACCGUAUGAAUAAGCAUCGGCUAACUCCGUGCCAGCAGCCGCGGUAAUACGGAGGAUGCGAGCGUUAUCCGGAUUUAUUGGGUUUAAAGGGAGCGCAGACGGGAGAUUAAGUCAGUUGUGAAAGUUUGCGGCUCAACCGUAAAAUUGCAGUUGAUACUGGUUUCCUUGAGUGCAGUUGAGGCAGGCGGAAUUCGUGGUGUAGCGGUGAAAUGCUUAGAUAUCACGAAGAACUCCGAUUG